GAUGAACGCUGGCGGCGUGCCUAAUACAUGCAAGUCGAGCGAACAGAUAAGGAGCUUGCUCCUUUGACGUUAGCGGCGGACGGGUGAGUAACACGUGGGUAACCUACCUAUAAGACUGGAAUAACUCCGGGAAACCGGGGCUAAUGCCGGAUAACAUUUAGAACCGCAUGGUUCUAAAGUGAAAGAUGGUUUUACUAUCACUUAUAGAUGGACCCGCGCCGUAUUAGCUAGUUGGUAAGGUAACGGCUUACCAAGGCAACGAUACGUAGCCGACCUGAGAGGGGGUCGCGCCACCGUGAAAUGGACACACGGCCCAGAGUCCUAGGGGAGGCAGAGGUGGGGAAUUUUCGGAAAUGGGCGAAAGCCUGCAGGAGGAACGCCGGGUGGGUGAAGAAGGUCUUCGGGUGGGAAAACCUUUUUAUUGGGGAAAAACAAUGGUGUAAGUAACGGAGCCCGUUUGAACGUUACCGAAUAAGAAAGCCCCGCCAAACACGGG
Molecule: ribosomal RNA, 496 nt
Filed under: uncultured bacterium
Lineage: Bacteria
Description: partial 16S ribosomal RNA
Rfam family: Bacterial small subunit ribosomal RNA
Source: RNAcentral